Molecule: transfer RNA, 72 nt
Filed under: Camelus bactrianus (Bactrian camel)
Lineage: Eukaryota; Metazoa; Chordata; Mammalia; Artiodactyla; Camelidae
Also listed under: 1 other name
Rfam family: tRNA
About the family: Transfer RNA (tRNA) molecules are approximately 80 nucleotides in length. Their secondary structure includes four short double-helical elements and three loops (D, anti-codon, and T loops).
Source: Rfam by way of RNAcentral
GAGGCUAUAGUUCAGUGGUAGAGUGCAUGUUUAGCAAGCAUAAGGUCCUGGGUUCAAUCCCCAGUACCUCCA